This 472-nucleotide ribosomal RNA is filed under the name uncultured bacterium. Its description in RNAcentral is "partial 16S ribosomal RNA". It matches the Rfam family "Bacterial small subunit ribosomal RNA", at positions 28 to 507 of the family's 1533-position model. The record is from RNAcentral.
GACGAACGCUGGCGGCGUGCUUAACACAUGCAAGUCGAACGCUGAAGCUUGGUGCUUGCACUGGGUGGAUGAGUGGCGAACGGGUGAGUAAUACGUGAGUAACCUGCCCUUGACUCUGGGAUAAGCCUGGGAAACUGGGUCUAAUACUGGAUACGACAUGUCACCGCAUGGUGGUGUGUGGAAAGGGUUUUACUGGUUUUGGAUGGGCUCACGGCCUAUCAGCUUGUUGGUGGGGUAAUGGCUCACCAAGGCGACGACGGGUAGCCGGCCCGAGAGGGUGACCGGCCACACUGGGACUGAGACACGGCCCAGACUCCUACGGGAGGCAGCAGUGGGGAAUAUUGCACAAUGGGCGGAAGCCUGAUGCAGCGACGCCGCGUGAGGGAUGACGGCCUUCGGGUUGUAAACCUCUUUCAGCACGGAAGAAGCGAAAGUGACGGUACGUGCAGAAGAAGCGCCGGCUAACUACGUG